AACGAACGCUGGCGGCAGGCCUAACACAUGCCAGUCGAGCGGACCCUUCGGGGUUAGCGGCGGACGGGUGAGUAACGCGUGGGAAUAUGCCCUUCUCUACGGAAUAGUCCUGGGAAACUGGGGGUAAUACCGUAUACGCCCUUUGGGGGAAAGAUUUAUCGGGGAAGGAUUAGCCCGCGUUGGAUUAGGUAGUUGGUGGGGUAAUGGCCUACCAAGCCGACGAUCCAUAGCUGGUUUGAGAGGAUGAUCAGCCACACUGGGACUGAGACACGGCCCAGACUCCUACGGGAGGCAGCAGUGGGGAAUCUUAGACAAUGGGGGAAACCCUGAUCUAGCCAUGCCGCGUGAGUGAUGAAGGCCUUAGGGUUGUAAAGCUCUUUCAGCUGGGAAGAUAAUGACGGUACCAGCAGAAGAAGCCCCGGCUAACUCCGUG
Molecule: ribosomal RNA, 433 nt
Filed under: uncultured bacterium
Lineage: Bacteria
Description: partial 16S ribosomal RNA
Rfam family: Bacterial small subunit ribosomal RNA
Source: RNAcentral